This 77-nucleotide transfer RNA is filed under the name Lentisphaeria bacterium. Its description in RNAcentral is "tRNA-Arg". It matches the Rfam family "tRNA". Rfam says of the family: Transfer RNA (tRNA) molecules are approximately 80 nucleotides in length. Their secondary structure includes four short double-helical elements and three loops (D, anti-codon, and T loops). Further hydrogen bonds mediate the characteristic L-shaped molecular structure. tRNAs have two regions of fundamental functional importance: the anti-codon, which is responsible for specific mRNA codon recognition, and the 3' end, to which the tRNAs corresponding amino acid is attached (by aminoacyl-tRNA synthetases). tRNAs cope with the degeneracy of the genetic code in two manners: having more than one tRNA (with a specific anti-codon) for a particular amino acid; and 'wobble' base-pairing, i.e. permitting non-standard base-pairing at the 3rd anti-codon position. Lineage: Bacteria; Pseudomonadati; Lentisphaerota; Lentisphaeria. The record is from RNAcentral.
GUGCCCGUAGCUCAGCUGGAUAGAGCGUCUGCCUCCGGAGUAGAAGGUCGUGGGUUCGAAUCCCGCCGGGCACACCA